AGUGAACGCUGGCGGUAGGCCUAACACAUGCAAGUCGAACGGCAGCACAGUAAGAGCUUGCUCUUACGGGUGGCGAGUGGCGGACGGGUGAGGAAUACAUCGGAAUCUACUUGUGCGUGGGGGAUAACGUAGGGAAACUUACGCUAAUACCGCAUACGACCUACGGGUGAAAGCAGCGGAUCUUCGGACCUUGCGCGAUUGAAUGAGCCGAUGUCGGAUUAGCUGGUUGGCGUGGUAAAGGCCCACCAAGGCGAUGAUCCGUAGCUGGGCUGAGAGGAUGAUCAGCCACACUGGCACUGAGCCACGCUCGCGACUCCUACGCGAGGAAGCAGUGGGGAAUAUUGGACAAUGGGCGCAAGCCUGAUCCAGCCCUACCGCGUGGGUGAAGAAGGCCUUCGGGUUGUAAAGCCCUUUUGUUGGGAAAGAAAAGCAGCAGGUUAAUACCCCGCUGUUCUGACGGUACCCAAAGAAUAAGCACCGGCUAACUUCGUG
RNAcentral lists this ribosomal RNA (492 nucleotides) under uncultured bacterium. Its description in RNAcentral is "partial 16S ribosomal RNA". It matches the Rfam family "Bacterial small subunit ribosomal RNA", at positions 29 to 507 of the family's 1533-position model. The record is from RNAcentral.